CAAGUCGAACGGCAGCACGGACUUCGGUCUGGUGGCGAGUGGCGAACGGGUGAGUAAUGUACCGGAACGUGCCCAGUAGCGGGGGAUAACUACGCGAAAGCGUAGCUAAUACCGCAUACGCCCUACGGGGGAAAGCAGGGGAUCGUAAGACCUUGCACUAUUGGAGCGGCCGAUAUCGGAUUAGCUAGUUGGUGGGGUAACGGCUCACCAAGGCGACGAUCCGUAGCUGGUUUGAGAGGACCACCUGCCACACUGGGACUGAGACACGGCCCAGACUCCUACGGGAGGCAGCAGUGGGGAAUUUUGGACAAUGGGGGAAACCCUGAUCCAGCCAUCCCGCGUGCGCGAUGAAGGCCUUCGGGUUGUAAAGCACUUUUGGCAGGAAAGAAACGUCAUGGGUUAAUACCCCGUGAAACUGACGGUACCUGCAGAAUAAGCACCGGCUAACUACGUGCCAGCAGCCGCGGUAAUACGUAGGGUGCAAGCGUUAAUCGGAAUUACUGGGCGUAAAGCGUGCGCAGGCGGUUCGGAAAAAAAGAUGUGAAAUCCCAGAGCUUAACUUUGGAACUGCAUUUUUAACUACCGGGCUAGAGUGUGUCAGAGGGAGGUGGAGUUCCGCGUGUAGCAGUGAAAUGCGUGAUAUGCGGAGGAACACCGAUGGCGAACGCAUCCUCCUGGAUAACACUGACGCUCAUGCACGAAAGCGUGGGGAGCAAACGGGAUUAUAUACCCUGGUAUUCCACGCCCUAAACGAUGUCCACUAGCUGUUGGGGGCCUUCGGGCCUUGGAAGGCGCAGCUAACGCGUGAAGUAGGACCGCCCUGGGG
RNAcentral lists this ribosomal RNA (826 nucleotides) under uncultured bacterium. RNAcentral's name for it is "bacterial SSU rRNA". It matches the Rfam family "Bacterial small subunit ribosomal RNA", at positions 58 to 873 of the family's 1533-position model. The record is from RNAcentral.